ACGUAGGGUGCAAGCGUUGUCCGGAAUUAUUGGGCGUAAAGAGCUCGUAGGCGGUUUGUUGCGUCGGCUGUGAAAUCCCGAGGCUCAACCUCGGGUCUGCAGUCGAUACGAGCAAACUAGAGUGUUGCAGGGGAGACUGGAAUUCCUGGUGUAGCGGUGAAAUGCGCAGAUAUCGGGAGGAACACCCGUAGCGAAGGCGGCACUCUGGGCCGGUACUGACGCUGAGGAGCGAAAGCGUGGGGAGCAAACAGGA
This 253-nucleotide ribosomal RNA is filed under the name uncultured prokaryote. Its description in RNAcentral is "partial 16S ribosomal RNA". It matches the Rfam family "Bacterial small subunit ribosomal RNA", at positions 525 to 777 of the family's 1533-position model. The record is from RNAcentral.